UUGUUCAGGUUGAAACUUCAUUUAGGGCUCUGCAGCAUAGACUUUGCUCAGUCAUGUUAUGCCAUAGCUGUUUUAAGGUAAACUCGUGAUUAAUUUGUUCUACUGAAUAUCAGUGACAUUAUAAUGACCACCUGGUGACUGCUUAGAAAGGCUUCUCCUCACUGUAGGUAAAAGGAUGACAGUCAAGGACUUCUCUGGAAUGGUUACAAUCCAUUGUAGUGUCUGUAUGUAUUCAGACUGCAGCUAAAAUAUCUCCUGCGGACUAUGUGAAGUAAUUAGUAAUAAUUGAUUUGCCCCCUUUAAAAUCUUUAAUAAUUGGAAUUUUGACCAUGUUUUUUUAUGUCCCAAAUGCAGUCAGAUUACAUGCCAGAAUGGUAAUAACAAAAAUUUAACUACAGAUGUAUUCUGACAGGUUUCUUAGUUAUGGUGAAUCUGAAAGGGAGCCGAGUGAUGCUUCUUUCAAUCCUCCCUGCUUUAAACUUCCGAAUAAUGAAACUUGUAUUUUGGUUUUCAGUUGUUUCUUUUUCAGAGCUUUCGGAGACUUUUCAGUCAGGCCCUACUAGAAAAAGCCUUGUCUACUCAGAGGGCUUUUGCUGAGCACUCAGGAGGUACAUUGUUCCACUAAUUUAACAUAGUUUUGUGCUGACAUCAAUGUAAUCAGCUUUUCAAUGCACAGAACUCCACAAGACUCUGGUCUCCCUUACUGUGGGCUACCUUCCAAAGGCUGCCUGUCCUCUCCUGUUUAAUUGCACAUAAUCCUAAAAUCACCCAGAGACAAUUGCUGACCACCUAUCCUGAUUGCAGCUGUAGUAGCAGAGUAAGAUUGUGGGUUUGCUUAUUUUUUUCAUCAAGAAUUAAACUGAUCUCCUUUGGAACAAAAGCAACUCCCUUCAGUGCCGAAAGUCUAUAGGAUCACUGUUACAUUUAGAUUGUGAGUAGUUUAAGAAAAAUAGUCACAAGUUUUUGGAAACCGGUUGAUCAGGUAUCCAAGGGUAGAAUGUCCUUUGAGUUUGGUUUUGUACAACUCAUAGUGAGGCAGGGGGUUUUUCUUGCAGUGAUUUCUGUACCAGAAUUUGUGAGCUCCCAUGGGCUACUUCAGGCUGCUGGCUGAGAGGGUGAGAAGCUCUUGCAGUGAAGCAGGAUCUGUUUCUUUACCUAAAAGCUGACCUGGUUCUUUACCUGAAAGUUAAGACUAUUGGAUAAGUCAAUAUAAAAGCCUAAAGAAGAAUUCCUUGCAAGUAUUCUUCUUCAACAUGGCAACUGAGGUGGUAAGAGCUUUAGAUAAACCUUGUCCUGAAUGAGAAGACAACUGGUACAUUGGACCAUAAUGGUUCAAUAGAUCCAUACAGCAGGACAUUUUUCUGCAAUGAGUCUGCAACACUCAGGAGACUGCUGUUACUUAUCAGCAUUGCAGGGAGGAAGAAGAAUUACAUAAUAACAAGUACAUAAAUCAUCUUAGGAGGAUGCUUAUUCUUUGUACUGUUUUUCCUUGGAGUGACAUAGCCUUGGAGGCAUCUAUGAAUCCUGAUCAGCAAGGCUGCUUUUUGUCUAAGUGACUGAACACUUGUAAGGGCUAUACAGUAUGGAAAGAGAAAACUUUAAAGAGGGAUGGGGUUUGGAAUACUGUUGCCCCCAAGUCAGUCGAUAUUCUUGCCCUUUCUAGGAUACAGUUUGGGUUAUUCAGCGCGUUUGAAAGCUCAUACAGUUUUACAAGUUUUUGUAGUGGGGAUGCAGGCAUCCAGAAUCUAACAGGUAUAUAGGUGCAUCUCCCUCAUUUUUGACAAUUACUUGAUAUAAUUUUGUAACAAGUUCUUUGUUUUUAAAGAAUUUCAAGCACUGAGAAUACAGAGUGCAUAUUUAUUUCUAAGCUUUAAGUAGAACACGUGGUGUAUUUUUUAAUCCUUUCCAUAUGUUUCAGUUAAGUGUUCACAAGACUGUAUAUCAGAUACAAUACCAAGUUUUUCUAUCUUUCUACAAGCCAGUUUAAGUUUCAUUUGAAUUUGGUAUAUAUAUGUCUUUCACAGAACACUAAAUGGGGAAUAUGUGCUUCAAGCAUUAAGGUGGUGUAUGUCCUUUUCUCCAUUUACACUGCAUUGCGUUUCACUUCUUUUUUCCUUUGAGGCAGAGAGAGCAGAUACAAAAUGUGGUGAGUGUGUUUCAGGGGCACACCAUGUGUUUCGUUGUGCCUGGCUUCAAGGAAUGUACUAUAACGUUGGACUGCUCACAGAUUUACAUAAUUAUCUCCUCCUCAGUUGAAUACAGGGCUGUUGUGUUGUAUUUCCUGUUACUCAGAAAAUUUGGGGAAAAGAUUUUUCUGUGUAUAAUUUUAUUUUCAUACUGACCUCUAUUUUGUUUAAGACCAUGUUUCAUCUUGAAAUCACUUAAUUAAAAUAAAUCUUCUUACAAAAUCCA
Long non-coding RNA from Neopsephotus bourkii (Bourke's parrot), 2412 nucleotides. RefSeq lists it as uncharacterized. The record is from RefSeq and is a predicted model, not a curated record. The transcript has 2 exons. Lineage: Eukaryota; Metazoa; Chordata; Aves; Psittaciformes; Psittacidae.